CGCGCCGGGGACUCCACCGGAAACUUACCCCCAGUGUCCCCAGGUGGUUUCUGGACAGAGUCCUGAGGGGCAUGCCUCCUGCCUGCACCCAGACACUUUAGCUGCGUCCUCCUGCCCGUCACCCCCCCCCCGCGACCUCAGGGCCCCCAUCUUCCAUGUCCAGGGUUCUUCCUCCAGCCCCCAGACACCCCUUCCCUCCCAGAACCUCAGCCCCGGCGCGCCCCGCCCUGCGCCCCAGAGGCCGAGGGGCCCGGCUCCGCCCUGGCGGGCACCGCUCCAGGGGGCCGGGCGCGGGGAGCGUAUAAAGUGGCUGGCGCUGUGCAGGUGGCACCCCGCAGCCCUAACCUCUGCGGGAGGACCUCGCCCCCCACCCCCGCGAGGACUUCGCCGAGGCCAGGGUCGCCGUGACAACCAGCAGCGCGGCCAAUCAACGCCCUGCCGGAGCCCUGCCUGUGGCAGCUCCUUCUGAAGCCCUUCCUCAUCAGCCAGCCCUGAAGUGAACAGUUUUCCUUGGAAAUUUUGUCCCUUGUCUCCCGUCAGGCUAACGCCACUAGUUUUUUGUGUGCCCGUCUUACUGCCUUUCUCAAGGUAAAUCCUGAGAAAAUCAAACUUGUCAUGUAGCUAGUUAAGUGGCAGGAAGGGCCACUGAACCCUUCAAGUCCAAAGACUGCAAGUUUGUCCAUGAAAAAGGACCUGGCAACGAGUGACUUAAUAUUAUUAUGUUGGGUAGUGAAUCUCCCAUUUACCUUUUCCCUCUGGCAAAGCAGCGCGCCCGCUCUGUUGACUGCAAAUGAACGUUCUGCUCUGUGCACAGAACCUUUGACCAUUUUCCUCCUGCGUUGCUUUCAGGAAUCAAUCUUUUCUAGAUAGUCAACUUUGUUAGUUAUAUUUCUUGCAAAUAUGUCCUUCCUGUUUGUGUCUUGUCUCACAUGGCUUAUGUUUGAAGGUAUCAGGCAUCCAAUAACAAGUAGCUGAUGAGCUCCUUGAAAGCAAGGGAUAGAUACCCUGAUUUUCUCAUUUUAGGUGAAGUGUCUUUAUAUUUUACUACUUAGGAAAUUUUUUUUUUUUUAAAGAUUUGAUUUAUUUAUUUGAGAGAGAGAGAGAGAACGAGCAGGGGGAAGGACAGAGGGAGAAGCUGACUCCCCAGCUGAGCAGGGACGCCCCGACGUGGGGCUCAAUCCCAAGACUCUGAGAUCACGACCCGAGCCAAAGGCAGCCGCUUAACCGACUGAGCCAACCAGGCGCCCCAGAAAAUGCUUGUUAAUACUGAUAAGAAGUAAAAAAACCCCAAACCACUUUGUAUCUAUAUAUAGCUAGGAAGCCAAGAGACUAAAACCCGACAAAGCAGUAUUCAGUAAACAUUGAUAUAACUAAUGCAAAGGUAAGUCAGAGAAAAUGCUCGUCCGAACUUAAUACUCACAUUUCUCCUCAGAGUGGGAA
This 1440-nucleotide long non-coding RNA is filed under the name Ursus americanus (American black bear). RNAcentral's name for it is "lncRNA (ENSUAMG00000028134.1)". The record is from RNAcentral. Lineage: Eukaryota; Metazoa; Chordata; Mammalia; Carnivora; Ursidae.